Molecule: long non-coding RNA, 845 nt
Organism: Hyla sarda
Lineage: Eukaryota; Metazoa; Chordata; Amphibia; Anura; Hylidae
Exons: 3
Source: RefSeq, a predicted model, not a curated record
AGGACCUUCACCUGUACUCUCGCAAACUCCUUUUGAAAAAAUUACAUGCCAGGAAAGAAAAUCCAGAUUUUUCCACACUUGAACUUGAGGCCCUACAAACCUUAGAAGAAUUAUUACAAGAGCAAAAUGAACCUGAGCCAGCUCAACUACUGCCAAUUUUUUGGACAUCCAGAUGCACCGACAAUCAGAUGGACACAUCGCUACAGAUAUUUAUAGAAAGGAAACUUCCACAAAUUCGCUUCUUCAUGCCACCUCAUCCCAUAUGCCAUCUACGAUCAGAGCAGUGCCCAUAGAUAUACCUUUGUACACAUGGCAUUAUAAGACACACUGUUACCCUAUGAUAUGAGUCUCGCAUCUUAGUAUGGAAGAUAUAAAGUAUUGCAAGAAGUACGGACUACUUGAAGACCAUUAAGUGAACCAUGGUAGCCAGACUGAUUAAAAAGAAAAAAAGGAAAUGAAUUGGACAAUAUGGUAGUGAAAGGAAUUGUAGUGGGGUUUUGGAUUUGUUUGGGAAUUUUUUAUAAGUGCCACAUAGAUGGCUGUAUAUGCACUUUAAUUAUACUAUAUAAUGGGGAUUUGCCAGCAAUUAAUACUGACAUGAUACACAUGGAUACUUGCACUUUAUGUACAGCACUUUAAUUAUUCUUGUAAUAUGUUAUAAGUAUUUAAUAAUUCCUUUUUUUGCUUUUUUGUUUUUUUCUUUUCACAUAUUAUUUUUGACAUGCAAAUUGUUUAUUUAGCACGAUUCAUUUUAAUACUGGGUUAAUAUUACACUGGGUCUUUUCACUCCAUAUAUGUUCUUACAUGUAUAUGGUUGUAUAGUCUGUCCUAUGGAUUCAUGCAGA